Molecule: ribosomal RNA, 437 nt
Filed under: uncultured bacterium
Lineage: Bacteria
Description: bacterial SSU rRNA
Rfam family: Bacterial small subunit ribosomal RNA
Source: RNAcentral
GCAUAACGCGAAGAACCUUACCUAGGCUUGACAUGCAUCUCUAAGCGCGUGAAAGCGCGUGACCCUUCGGGGGAUUUGCACAGGUGCUGCAUGGCCGUCGUCAGCUCGUGUCGUGAGAUGUUGGGUUAAGUCCCGCAACGAGCGCAACCCUUGUGAACAGUUGCCAGCACUUAAGGUGGGAACUCUGUUCAGACUGCCCAGAUCAACUGGGAGGAAGGUGGGGACGACGUCAGGUCAGUAUGGCCCUUACGCCUAGGGCUGCACACGUACUACAAUGCCCAGCACAAUGAGAACCGAGACCGCGAGGUGGAGGAAAUCUAAAAAACUGGGCCCAGUUCGGAUUGGAGGCUGCAACUCGCCUCCAUGAAGUUGGAAUCGCUAGUAAUGGCGCAUCAUCUACGGCGCCGUGAAUACGUUCCCGGGUCUUGUACACACCG